AGCAGCCGCGGUAAUUCCAGCUCCAAUAGCGUAUAUUAAAGUUGUUGCAGUUAAAAAGCUCGUAGUUGAACUUCAGGCCUGGCUGGACGGUCCGCCUUCCGGGCGAGCACUGUCUGUGGUCGGGUCCUACCUUCUGGCGAAGCGUCAUGGCCUUCACCGGCCGUGGCGGGGAACCAGGACUUUUACUGUGAAAAAUUAGAGUGUUCAAAGCAGGCAAUUCGCUUGGAUACAUUAGCAUGGAAUAAUGGAAUAGGACAAUGGUUCUAUUUGUUGGUUUCUAGGACUGUUGUAAUGAUUAAUAGGGAUAGUUGGGGGCAUUAGUAUUCAAUUGUCAGAGGUGAAAUUCUUGGAUUUAUUGAAGACUAACUACUGCGAAAGCAUUUGCCAAG
Molecule: ribosomal RNA, 389 nt
Filed under: uncultured Glomeromycotina
Lineage: Eukaryota; Fungi; Glomeromycota
Description: SSU rRNA
Rfam family: Eukaryotic small subunit ribosomal RNA
Source: RNAcentral